This 72-nucleotide transfer RNA is filed under the name Stegodyphus mimosarum. It matches the Rfam family "tRNA". From Rfam's summary of the family: Transfer RNA (tRNA) molecules are approximately 80 nucleotides in length. Their secondary structure includes four short double-helical elements and three loops (D, anti-codon, and T loops). The record is from Rfam by way of RNAcentral. Lineage: Eukaryota; Metazoa; Arthropoda; Arachnida; Araneae; Eresidae.
GCACUUGUGGUGUAGUGGUCAGCACACUCGACGCGUAUCGAGAGGUCCGUGGUUCGAGUCCUGGCGAGGGCA